This 249-nucleotide long non-coding RNA is filed under the name Coturnix japonica (Japanese quail). Its description in RNAcentral is "lncRNA (ENSCJPG00005010414.1)". The record is from RNAcentral. Lineage: Eukaryota; Metazoa; Chordata; Aves; Galliformes; Phasianidae.
AGAGAACUUGGCUAUCCAGAGCAUCAUUCCACUGAGUUCCUCAUCAUGCCUACAGCCUGCCCUGCCGCACCUUUUCCAGUGUUGGACAGCGUCUAUUUGAAAAGCAAAGAAGGAAAUCAGGUAUUGAAGCCUGCACAGAAAGGGUCAGCUGUGAAAGGUGAAUCAUCAGACUGCAAGUACAGAAGAGUUUAUGCAAACAUGGAAUGGAGUGCAGUUACACAGAGCUGUCUCCUUAGUAUUUGCUACUAA